Molecule: long non-coding RNA, 1388 nt
Filed under: Capra hircus (goat)
Lineage: Eukaryota; Metazoa; Chordata; Mammalia; Artiodactyla; Bovidae
Description: lncRNA (ENSCHIG00000004596.1)
Source: RNAcentral
UGUAUAUGUACCACUUCAUCUUUGUCCAGACCUUGUUCUCCUAAUGACUCACAGUCGGUCUAAAAUUCUGCCGUCUUCAGCAGGUGUUUAAGAAGCAUACGAGUUCAAGAGCAGAUAGAUUUGCAGAAGUGGUAAAAGAUCUGUCCCCGGGAGAGAGAAAGCUGUCCUUAAACAAAGGAUUAGCAGCUCUGGACUUUUAAAGUGAUAGCAGUUGCCAGCCUUCAGCUGAGAAGCUGAACGAAGGGCCAUCCUUCCUGUCAUCAGUGAGGCAAAAUGAGGGGCAGAGAAACCGUGCUGGAAGGAAGCAAGGUCAUCUGCUGAACUUCCUUGACUUUGGCCCAGAUCACAGCUCAGAUUCCACUCUUGCUCCGAACUGACCUACCCGACUUUGGUGCUAGGCCUGGAGUGAUGCGUCCCUGCCUGCGAGCGCCUCUCAUCCCGUGAAGGCCGGAACAUGACCACCAGCAGCCCCGCGUGCCACGUCCCGGCGGUGAGCGGCCACAUGGCUCACUAUCCCGCCGCUCCCUACCCGCUGCUCUUCCCGCCCGUCAUCAGCGGACUUUCCCUGCCCCCACUCCACGGCCUCCACGGCCCGCCACCUCCGAGUGGGUGCAGCACCCCUUCACCUGCAAAUGUCCGUGCUCCUCCCGGGACACUCCUCGUGUUGAUGGCAGACGUUGCACAUCACUGUAAGUGGGUCAUUUGAAGGCAUCCACAGGGAGACAGGCGGAGGCGUUAGCCUGUCCCCACGCUGUAACAAGACAUGGUGAGAAUGUAUUUUGGUGCAGCCACUGUGGAGAACAGUAUGAAGCAUCCUUUAAAAAAAAAAAAAACUAAAAAUAUAGUUGCCGUUGUUGUUGUUGUUAUUGUUCAGUCACUAAGUCUUGUUCAACUCUUUGCAACCCCAUGGACUGCAACACGCCAGGCCCCUCUGUCCUCCACUGUCUUACAGACUUUGCUCAAAUUCAUGUCCAUUGAGUUGGUGAUGCUAUCUAGACAUCUCAUCCUCUCCUGAUCCUUUCUCCUUUUGCCUUCAAUCUUUCCCAGCAUCAGGGUCUUUUCCAGUGAGUCAGCUCUUCGCAGCAGGUGGCCAGAGUACUGGAGGUUCAGCUUUAGCAUCAGUCCUUCCAAUGAAUAUUCAGGGUUGAUUUCCUUUAAGACUGACUGGUUUGAUCUCUUAGCUGUCCAAGGGACUCUCAAGAGUCUUCUCCAGCACCACAGUUUGAAAGCAUCAAUUCUUUGGUGCUCAGCCUUCUUUAAGAUCCAACUCUCCUAUCCAUACAUGACUGCUGGAAAAACCAUAGGUUUGACCAGAUGGAUCUUUGUCAGCAAAGUGGUGUCUUUGCUUUUUAAUAUGUUGUCUAGAUUUGUCAUAGUUUUCUGUCCCA